UACGUAGGGGCGAGCGUUGUCCGGAUUUAUUGGGCGUAAAGAGCGUGUAGGCGGCCAGGUAGGUCUGCUGUGAAACUCGAGGCUCAACCUCGAGACGUCGGCGGAAACCAUCUGGCUAGAGUCCGGAAGAGGAGAGUGGAAUUCCUGGUGUAGCGGUGAAAUGCGCAGAUAUCAGGAAGAACACCCGUGGCGAAGGCGGCUCUCUGGGACGGUACUGACGCUGAGACGCGAAAGCGUGGGUAGCAAACAGG
RNAcentral lists this ribosomal RNA (251 nucleotides) under uncultured bacterium. RNAcentral's name for it is "partial 16S ribosomal RNA". It matches the Rfam family "Bacterial small subunit ribosomal RNA", at positions 524 to 776 of the family's 1533-position model. The record is from RNAcentral.